AGAGUUUGAUCCUGGCUCAGGACGAACGCUGGCGGCGUGCCUAACACAUGCAAGUCGAACGAGGUCGCCUUCGGGCAAUGACCAAGUGGCGAACGGGUGCGUAACACGUGAGGAACCUGCCCCGAAGACUGGGACAACCACGGGAAACUGUGGCUAAUACCAGAUGCCCUCCGCUGAUCGCAUGAUCGGCAGAGGAAAUGCUCCGGCGCUUCGGGAGGGCCUCGCGGCCUAUCAGCUUGUUGGCGAGGUAACGGCUCACCAAGGCAUCGACGGGUAGCUGGUCUGAGAGGACGAUCAGCCACACUGGGACUGAGACACGGCCCAGACUCCUGCGGGAGGCAGCAGUGGGGAAUCUUGCGCAAUGGGCGAAAGCCUGACGCAGCAACGCCGCGUGGGGGAUGAAGGCUCUCGGGUUGUAAACCCCUUUCAGCAGGGACGAAAUUGACGGUACCUGAAGAAGAAGCCCCGGCCAACUACGUGCCAGCAGCCGCGGUGACACGUAGGGGGCGAGCGUUGUCCGGAAUUAUUGGGCGUAAAGAGCUCGUAGGCGGUUUAGUAAGUCAGAUGUGAAAGGUUGGGGCUCAACCCUAAGACUGCAUCCGAUACUGCUAUGACUA
This 617-nucleotide ribosomal RNA is filed under the name uncultured bacterium. Its description in RNAcentral is "bacterial SSU rRNA". It matches the Rfam family "Bacterial small subunit ribosomal RNA", at positions 8 to 643 of the family's 1533-position model. The record is from RNAcentral.